RNAcentral lists this ribosomal RNA (427 nucleotides) under uncultured bacterium. RNAcentral describes it as "bacterial SSU rRNA". It matches the Rfam family "Bacterial small subunit ribosomal RNA", at positions 355 to 775 of the family's 1533-position model. The record is from RNAcentral.
UCGAGAAUUUUUCUCAAUGGGGGAAACCCUGAAGGAGCGACGCCGCGUGGAGGAUGAAGGUUUUCGGAUUGUAAACUCCUGUCAUCCGGGAGCAAUGCUUACGGUUUAACUGACUGUAAGUUGAUAGUACCGGAAGAGGAAGGGACGGCUAACUCUGUGCCAGCAGCCGCGGUAAUACAGAGGUCCCGAGCGUUGUUCGGAUUCAUUGGGCGUAAAGGGUGCGUAGGCGGCGAGCUAAGUUUGGUGUGAAAUCCUGGGGCUUAACCUCAGAAUUGCACUGAAUACUGGUUUGCUAGAGGACUGGAGAGGAGAUUGGAAUUCACGGUGUAGCAGUGAAAUGCGUAGAUAUCGUGAGGAAGACCAGUGGCGAAAGCGAAUCUCUGGACAGAUCCUGACGCUGAUGCACGAAGGCUAGGGGAGCAAACGG